This is a long non-coding RNA of Xenia sp. Carnegie-2017, 1155 nucleotides long. RefSeq lists it as uncharacterized. The record is from RefSeq and is a predicted model, not a curated record. The transcript has 2 exons. Lineage: Eukaryota; Metazoa; Cnidaria; Anthozoa; Malacalcyonacea; Xeniidae.
UGGAAUGCAUUUCGGUGAUCGACAUCAUCUACCCCCACCCCCACAAAAAAUAUUUUUGUCAUGCCAUUGCAUCAUCUUUAAAAAGGCAGAGAAGACAUUAAUGAUAUCAAUAUAGGCUAUUGGAGUGUUUAUCAUGAUGGGCGACAAUGAAUCCUUGUCAUCGGGAUUUUCUUCCAUUGAGACGAGUCGUGAUAACUCGUUACAAUUAGAUGAAAUGUAUUACUUGAAAUUUAAUCACAAAACAAAAAAAACAUCUCAAUGUUACAAUGAAGAAGAAACAAGAUGUUCAUGUCCCAACUCACACAAAAUAGAACAAUUACAAAAAGAAAAUUUGUUUUUAAAAUCACGUAUCAAUGCUUUAGAAAUCAACAUGACGCAAACACUAAAUGAAAACGCGUUGUUAAGAGCCGAAAUUACCAAUAAGAUGGACAAUAAAUUUACUCAAGAAAGUGCAAGUUAUUUGCAAACAAUGAACGCGAAUAAGGACAGCAUUGCACGAAGCGAUGUUUUGAGAGAUAAAGAAGUAAACGAGAGAAAAAGGCAGUCUGUAUUUAAUGAGUUAUUCAAGGAAACAGCUCCAAAACCAGCUAAAUAAACUUGGAGUUAUUAAUUGUAAAUGCACCUUUCUUUCAGUAAUGUAAUUACAUUUAAUUAAUUUAAUUAAUUUAUAUUAGAAUAGCAUAUACGCUUUAUAGCUGUGUAAAUACUGAAUACAUCAUUUCUACAUUGUUUUUGUUAGUACAUAGGGGAACAUUUUGUUAGUAAAUAGGUGAACAUGGAAUUUUACAUAAUCCAUUACUGAUUACCAUGAUUUAAAUGAGAAAUAUGCUACAGUAAACAUGCCUCAACUUUAUUGUUCUUUACGUCAGUGUGUUUGCUAACCUAUGCUAUUUUAUUUUGUGAUCAAAUAAGUAAGUAAGAACUGUUGCUUAUACUGUAUUUCAAUUGGCUUACUUUAAUCACAUGACCAAAAACAUAAUAUAAUAUUGACUAAAUGUUCGUUCUAAGGAUAGACAUUGAUUAAAGGCAAUUUUUACAGUUAUCAGUAUAAGAUGGAUGGAAUGUAUAUCAUGUAGUUUGGUUACAAGUACCAUUAAAUAGAUAUUUUUACUUUUUUUUAAAUAAAUUGAGAACUAGAAUCAUAUCGGAAAAAAA